This 268-nucleotide long non-coding RNA is filed under the name Hordeum vulgare. Its description in RNAcentral is "long non-coding RNA (HVUL_LNC011900)". Lineage: Eukaryota; Viridiplantae; Streptophyta; Magnoliopsida; Poales; Poaceae. The record is from RNAcentral.
UUGGUGUAUUCCUGAUCUUGAUGGCAUGGUGAAAUCUGACAAAGUUCUGGCAAUCCGUGAUCCUUUCAUGCUGCUCCUGAGUAUGCUGAUUGAUAGAUCAACGAAGUGCUUCAAUGUCUUUUGGUUCCGCUAUAAUUGAGAAAGUUGGAUGUUUCGCAGACAAAAGGGCAAUGCACAUAUGAUCUACACAGGGGUCAUGCGUAUGACAAAGUUCAGUAUGGGGUCAUGCGUACUCCCAAGUGUAGCACCAUCACAGAACCUAUCUCUU